This is a non-coding RNA of Schistosoma mansoni, 45 nucleotides long. The record is from Rfam. Lineage: Eukaryota; Metazoa; Platyhelminthes; Trematoda; Strigeidida; Schistosomatidae.
AUCCAGCUGACGAGUCUCAAAUAGGACGAAACGUGCAUCCUGGAU